GCUGUUUUCACUGAUUUCGAUUCUUCUACUGUUUGAUGGCCUUCUGCAUCCCAGAGUCUGGGCCAACCUCCUGUCCAACAACAUCUCCAAGGCACACUGAACUAUAUGACUAGCAGCAAACUCAACAUCAACAGUUUCACAUUCUGAGAGCAACUUGAGUAGAAAUUAACUGAAUAGAAAAGGUAAGUGCUUUUGGAAAAUGACUGAAGACUCAGCUGCUCAAAUUAGUAAAGGCAGGUCAUUCUACCAUGAUCUUAUCUACAAAUACUACUAUUCUCAUGAAGUCUGUAAAUAUGUCCAGUUCUAAUAAACACAUUUCAGGAAAAAAUUAUUUAAUAAUAUGAGCAAAAUGAAAUGCAGCCCUGCAUAAAUCUGGUAUAACUGAGCCUGUGAAUUUGUUAAUUUGUAUAGGAUUUAUGCACCUGUAGUGAAGAUUUUGAGAAGGUUUUGUUGUGUUUGUGAGAGAAAAAGAAACAAAAUACAAGCUUGCAACUCCAAAAACAUUUUCUUGAUGAUUUAUUUAAAUAUUCUCUACAAAUACAAAUACAAAUUCCACUGUCACAAGUGCUCAAUUUUGUUAUAAUAAUGAACAAAGUGUCUCGAUUGUACAGUAGAUGUACUGUAUGCAAAUAUAACAAAGGGACAUUAACAAUUGAAUAUUCAGGGGAUGCGAACUUGUCACCUUUAAGUAAAAAUUGACAAUUUCGAUCCAAAAAUCAUUUGCAUUUUUUGAGUAGAUCCAAAGAGUUGAAUACAAAGUGAAUUAGUUAAAUAGCACAUGCUAAAUAACACAAGUAAUUUUUUGUUUACAUUUUAUAUAUGUUAUAAAAAGAAAAUAAAUACAUGUUUUAAAUCAAAUGUUGCCAUUUUAA
This is a long non-coding RNA of Carassius auratus (goldfish), 872 nucleotides long. RefSeq lists it as uncharacterized. The transcript has 4 exons. NCBI's taxonomy places the organism in Eukaryota, Metazoa, Chordata, Actinopteri, Cypriniformes, Cyprinidae. The record is from RefSeq and is a predicted model, not a curated record.